UUGAUGUUGUCUUGUUAUGCUCUAUGUUGUAAGACUUACUAUGUUGUUGUUGUCAUUAUGUUCUAUCAUGUCUCAUUUCGUUAUUGUUAUGUCAAACAUUCUGGUUUGCAUCAUGUAUGUCCAUGAAUUGUCAAGUCUUUUACCAUUCUUUUUGCUCAUAACAAAGGGAGAAAAGAUGUUUGUGUAUGUGUUUGCUUUUCUCUAACAUUUGCAGCAAGCAACAAAUUCUCAAAAACUCACAUUCAAAGAUCAAGGGGGAGUAAGG
Molecule: long non-coding RNA, 265 nt
Filed under: Lathyrus oleraceus (garden pea)
Lineage: Eukaryota; Viridiplantae; Streptophyta; Magnoliopsida; Fabales; Fabaceae
Description: Pisum sativum (pea) long non-coding RNA (PSAT_LNC003876)
Source: RNAcentral